AUUUGUAUAGUAUAAAAUAUUACUUUUAUCUUCCAAAUAAAUAAUUUCAUUAUAAAAUGAAUACAAAUA
Molecule: transfer RNA, 69 nt
Filed under: Megacampsomeris sp. 1 YJY-2023a
Lineage: Eukaryota; Metazoa; Arthropoda; Insecta; Hymenoptera; Scoliidae
Description: tRNA-Gly
Source: RNAcentral